CCUACGGGAGGCAGCAGUGAGGAAUAUUGGUCAAUGGGCGGGAGCCUGAACCAGCCAAGCCGCGUGAGGGAAGAAGGUACAGCGUAUCGUAAACCUCUUUUGUCAGGGAACAAAGGCGGGGACUAGUCCCCGGAUGAGGGUACCUGAAGAAAAAACAUCGGCUAACUCCGUGCCAGCAGCCGCGGUAAUACGGAGGAUGCGAGCGUUAUCCGUAUUGAUUGGGGUUAAGGGGUGCGCAGGCGGCCUGUUAAGUAAGCGGUAAAAGCCCGGGGCUCAACCCCGGCGAGCCGUUGAAACUGGCGGGCUGGAGUUGGAGAGAAGUACGCGGAAUGCGCGGUGUAGCGGUGAAAUGCUUAGAUAUCGCGCAGAACCCCGAUUGCGAAGGCAGCGUACCGGCUCCACACUGACGCUGAGGCACGAAAGCGUGGGUAUCGAACAGGAUUAGAUACCCUGGUAGUC
RNAcentral lists this ribosomal RNA (459 nucleotides) under uncultured bacterium. RNAcentral's name for it is "partial 16S ribosomal RNA". It matches the Rfam family "Bacterial small subunit ribosomal RNA", at positions 338 to 795 of the family's 1533-position model. The record is from RNAcentral.